AUGACAGUUACUGACCUGCAAAACGACACUGUUACUGACCUGCAGAACGACACUGUUACUGACCUGCAGAAUGACACUGUUACUGACCUGCAGAACGACACUGUUACUGACCUGCAGAAUGACAGUUACUGACCUGCAAAACGACACUGUUACUGACCUGCAGAACGACACUGUUACUGACCUGCAGAAUGACACUGUUACUGAACUGCAGAACGACACUGAGACCUUCCUGGAAAAAAGUGGAAUGGACACCUUUUCCAUCCUUAACGUGACAACAGCAGAUUCUGGACUGCACCCUGAUGGGAAAAGUUAAUGUAGCUGUAUGUUCGAAUACAGCUACAAGUCAGGCAACAAGCAGUAGCAUGGCUGGAUUCAGCACACCACCUCACUACCUCACGACUUCCAGUGAGACACAGCCUGAAUCAGGUCCUGUGCAGCAGUGUGGACCUCACAGUGCAGUACUUCCCUGGGCUGUUGCUGGUGUAUCUCUAAGUGUGAACGUCCUCUGCACAAUCUUCAUGAUAUUCCUUUGGAAAGCAAGAACAAAGGUGACACCAAAUCAAGAG
This is a long non-coding RNA of Epinephelus moara (kelp grouper), 566 nucleotides long. RefSeq lists it as uncharacterized. The transcript is spliced from 3 exons. The record is from RefSeq and is a predicted model, not a curated record. Lineage: Eukaryota; Metazoa; Chordata; Actinopteri; Perciformes; Serranidae.